AAACCAAGGACGACACUACAGAUUGACGGGGGAUCAGAGUUAACGAGACAUCGUCGUCUGGGUCCUUUGCCAGAUUGAUCAUAACUCGUUAAGUCUCCCGUCUCCGGAACAAACUAUCGUCACACGUUCAUCUUUCUUUUCCUGUGUAGCGGAACGGAGAAGGAGAAGAAGGAAACGAUGGUCUCUUCAGCAGCUAGGGUUUCAUUUCGAGUGGUUUUCUUUGUUUUACUGCUCCUGGUGGCCUUCUAUAUCGGUCGUCCUCUCUACUGGAAAAUUUCUGCAACAAUUCACGAGAUCCGAGAGAAGAGACAGACUGUUAAAGAAGGGAUUUCGCAAAUCGUUCUCGAAGCCCAGAGAUCCGUCGGAUGGGUUCACGACGAAUCAGAUCCCGGAGUUAGUGAGGAUCAGAGAAUCGGUAAAACUGGAGUGGCCACCACUAGACGAAUCCUUCAGUUUGUUGAUGCGCAGCGAAGCCAAUGAUCAGGUUCUGUAGACAUUCUUGUGAACUCCUUUUCGUUAUAGAUAGUGGAACUAAGUACUAGUGCUAUCAUGGGGUUAGAUCUGGUUGUCUUGAUUGUAAUAAUGGGAGAAUCUCAGCACGUCAUUUCAGUAAAGUCCCGAACUUAUCCUAUUGCUCACCUGGAGUUCCUUGGCGAAACUUACAAUUUCUUGGUCUGAUGUCCUCGUUUUCUUUACCACACCAUCAUGCAUAUUCCUAUCUAGUUUGAUUUACCUAAUUGGGGCUCAAAACUCAAUUUUGGCGAGAAGUAUGGUCAUUCUCAUGAAUAUGCUUCCAAUGAAUGUCUUGUAAUAGCCCCAAUUAUACGUUGCUUAACUUUUCAAGUUUGUUUCCAGUCUCAAAAUUUUUCAUUGUCACUAUAAUCCAGUAUUUAUGAUCAUAUCAAUAAAUUCAAUAUGACUUGUUAGUAUUGCACCA
Molecule: RNA transcript, 937 nt
Organism: Nelumbo nucifera (sacred lotus)
Lineage: Eukaryota; Viridiplantae; Streptophyta; Magnoliopsida; Proteales; Nelumbonaceae
Gene name: Low-density receptor-like protein
Source: RefSeq, a predicted model, not a curated record